RNAcentral lists this ribosomal RNA (404 nucleotides) under Actinomycetes bacterium. RNAcentral's name for it is "Actinobacteria bacterium partial 16S ribosomal RNA". It matches the Rfam family "Bacterial small subunit ribosomal RNA", at positions 355 to 776 of the family's 1533-position model. The record is from RNAcentral. Lineage: Bacteria; Bacillati; Actinomycetota; Actinomycetes.
UGGGGAAUAUUGGACAAUGGGCGCAAGCCUGAUCCAGCCAUGCCGCGUGAGUGAUGAAGGCCCUAGGGUUGUAAAGCUCUUUCACCGGUGAAGAUAAUGACGGUAACCGGAGAAGAAGCCCCGGCUAACUUCGUGCCAGCAGCCGCGGUAAUACGAAGGGGGCUAGCGUUGUUCGGAUUUACUGGGCGUAAAGCGCACGUAGGCGGACUUUUAAGUCAGGGGUGAAAUCCCGGGGCUCAACCCCGGAACUGCCUUUGAUACUGGAAGUCUUGAGUAUGGUAGAGGUGGGUGGAAUUCCGAGUGUAGAGGUGAGAUUCGUAGAUAUUCGGAGGAACACCAGUGGCGAAGGCGGCUCACUGGGCCAUUACUGACGCUGAGGUGCGAAAGCGUGGGGAGCAAACAGG